UUGGCAGAAACAAGGCCAAAAAUUUACUAAUUGGCCCGCCAGAUUAUUACAAGUAAAAACUUAAAACUCAAAGGACUUGACGGUGUCCCACAUACAACCUAGAGGAGCCUGUCCUAUAAUCGAUGAUCCACGAAGGACCCUACCACCUUUCGCCUAACAACCUAUAUACCGCCGUCGAAAGUUCACCUUAUGAAGGAAAAAAAGUGAACAUAAUAGUCGGACACUAACACGUCAGGUCAAGGUGUAGUUUAUAGGGUGGCCAGAGAUGGGCUACAUUUCCUUAUCAAGGAAAAACGAACGGAAAAAUGAAAACCAACCAGAAGGAGGAUUUAGUAGUAAAAUAGGAUCAGAAAGCCUGCUUGAACACAUUGCCCUGGGACG
RNAcentral lists this ribosomal RNA (381 nucleotides) under Antillotyphlops dominicanus (Dominican worm snake). Its description in RNAcentral is "partial 12S ribosomal RNA". It matches the Rfam family "Bacterial small subunit ribosomal RNA", at positions 834 to 1381 of the family's 1533-position model. The record is from RNAcentral. Lineage: Eukaryota; Metazoa; Chordata; Lepidosauria; Squamata; Typhlopidae.